CCUACGGGGGGCUGCAGUGGGGAAUAUUGGACAAUGGGGGCAACCCUGAUGCAGCCAUGCCGCGUGUGUGAAGAAGGCCCUCGGGUUGUAAAGCACUUUCAGUGAGGAAGAACGCCUGGUGGUUAAUACCCAUCAGGAAAGACAUCACUCACAGAAGAAGCACCGGCUAACUCCGUGCCAGCAGCCGCGGUAAUACGGAGGGUGCGAGCGUUAAUCGGAAUUACUGGGCGUAAAGCGCGCGUAGGUGGCUUGAUAAGCCGGUUGUGAAAGCCCCGGGCUCAACCUGGGAACGGCAUCCGGAACUGUCAAGCUAGAGUGCAGGAGAGGAAGGUAGAAUUCCCGGUGUAGCGGUGAAAUGCGUAGAGAUCGGGAGGAAUACCAGUGGCGAAGGCGGCCUUCUGGACUGACACUGACACUGAGGUGCGAAAGCGUGGGUAGCAAACAGGAUUAGAUACCCGAGUAGUC
This 465-nucleotide ribosomal RNA is filed under the name Vreelandella stevensii. RNAcentral's name for it is "partial 16S ribosomal RNA". It matches the Rfam family "Bacterial small subunit ribosomal RNA", at positions 338 to 795 of the family's 1533-position model. The record is from RNAcentral. Lineage: Bacteria; Pseudomonadati; Pseudomonadota; Gammaproteobacteria; Oceanospirillales; Halomonadaceae.